AGUGAACGCUGGCGGUAGGCCUAACACAUGCAAGUCGAACGGCAGCACAGUAAGAGCUUGCUCUUACGGGUGGCGAGUGGCGGACGGGUGAGGAAUACAUCGGAAUCUACUUUUUCGUGGGGGAUAACGUAGGGAAACUUACGCUAAUACCGCAUACGACCUACGGGUGAAAGCAGGGGUUCUUCGGACCUUGCGCGAUUGAAUGAGCCGAUGUCGGAUUAGCUAGUUGGCGGGGUAAAGGCCCACCAAGGCGACGAUCCGUAGCUGGUCUGAGAGGAUGAUCAGCCACACUGGAACUGAGACACGGUCCAGACUCCUACGGGAGGCAGCAGUAGGGAAUAUUGGACAAUGGGCGCAAGCCUGAUCCAGCCAUACCGCGUGGGUGAAGAAGGCCUUCGGGUUGUAAAGCCCUUUUGUUGGGAAAGAAAAGCAGCAGGUUAAUACCCCGCUGUUCUGACGGUACCCAAAGAAUAAGCACCGGCUAACUUCGUG
This 492-nucleotide ribosomal RNA is filed under the name uncultured bacterium. RNAcentral's name for it is "partial 16S ribosomal RNA". It matches the Rfam family "Bacterial small subunit ribosomal RNA", at positions 29 to 507 of the family's 1533-position model. The record is from RNAcentral.